AUUGAACGCUGGCGGCAUGCUUUACACAUGCAAGUCGAACGGCAGCGCGGGCUUCGGCCUGGCGGCGAGUGGCGAACGGGUGAGUAAUGCAUCGGAACGUGCCCAGCAGUGGGGGAUAGCCCGGCGAAAGCCGGAUUAAUACCGCAUACGACCUGAGGGUGAAAGCGGGGGACCGAAAGGCCUCGCGCUAUUGGAGCGGCCGAUGUCGGAUUAGCUAGUUGGUGAGGUAAAGGCUUACCAAGGCGACGAUCCGUAGCUGGUCUGAGAGGACGACCAGCCACACUGGGACUGAGACACGGCCCAGACUCCUACGGGAGGCAGCAGUGGGGAAUUUUGGACAAUGGGGGCAACCCUGAUCCAGCCAUGCCGCGUGCGGGAAGAAGGCCUUCGGGUUGUAAACCGCUUUUGUUCGGGAAGAAAUCCUCUGGGCUAAUACCCCGGGGGGAUGACGGUACCGGAAGAAUAAGCACCGGCUAACUACGUG
This 484-nucleotide ribosomal RNA is filed under the name uncultured bacterium. RNAcentral's name for it is "partial 16S ribosomal RNA". It matches the Rfam family "Bacterial small subunit ribosomal RNA", at positions 29 to 507 of the family's 1533-position model. The record is from RNAcentral.